This is an RNA transcript of Ostrea edulis (European flat oyster), 5277 nucleotides long. It is a transcript of the gene named protocadherin-11 X-linked-like, with no coding region annotated. The record is from RefSeq and is a predicted model, not a curated record. The transcript is spliced from 7 exons. Lineage: Eukaryota; Metazoa; Mollusca; Bivalvia; Ostreida; Ostreidae.
AGAGAGAGAGAGAGCAUGUACUCUAUACUGUAUUAGAUCUUUUUUAUUUAUGUGGUAACACAAUUUAUUAUGGUAGUACAAUAUGCAUUGUUCUAGUAAUUUGCAGAAAAUACAUAAAAAAGGUGUAUUUUAUUAAAAAAAAAAAAAAAAAAAAAAAAAAAAAACUUUCACUCUAACAGGGAAACACACUUGGUAUCUAGAAUUGGCUGCAUAUGUGGGCAGCUGAAUCAUCUUGUUGGCUAUCUACAGUUUCAAAGUCCCUCUCAUUCGUCAUGGGACUUCCAAGUGAAAGGACAUCAAAAUCCAUGUUUUUCUGUCCAAGGAGCGACUUUAAGAUGUCAGAAAGCGAAUUAAAAUCCUGAUUCCAAUAAAAAGAAGGAUUAUAACGGGCAUUUGAUGCCAUACAAUGUAGAUUGGUCUUGUUAACAAAAAUCCUAUUAGAUUAGGGGAUUGGGAAUUUGACAGGGCACGAAGGAAUCCUAUUAUUUCUCUCUGUCAUCCCAGGGAUUCAUUGCACGACGCCAUGAAUAUCAUCUCUUCCCGCUUGACCUGUAAAUCACAUGACAUGGGGGUACUGAAUUAGUUGUUGGUCAGCGGAUGAGUCUAUGCCCCCUAGUGACUUAAAGUUUUUAAAUCUGGACUCUUCAUAGUAUAUCCCUGAAUGCAAGAGAAAAAACUCAUUGUGGCCUUAGGCGGGAAGUUAGUGGUGUGAGACGAAGAGGCGGAGCUUAUUUCACUCUGCUAACGAUUCAAGUGUCAGAGAAAGUACAUUAUGAUUUCUAUUACUAUCUGGUAUUGUUGUUGAUGUGGAACAAGCAUAAAUAUUUUACUCUGGGAGUUAAUUAUAAUUACGUGUUGAUUGAUGAAAGAUUUUGCAGCUAUGUUUACUGCCAAAAAACUUUAACUUACAGGUGUGGAAAAAUUAACACUGUUUGAUAUCAAACAAAAGACUGAAAUUUAAUGACAUUAAAAAGGAAAUCUCAUGUUUGGAUGAAACUUUCUCAGAACUUUGAUUUAAUUUGGAUAUCAUAUCAAUCUGAAGGUAGCCACACGCGGGCCACUGUUUAUGACAGACCUUGACACACAACGGAGCAAGAUUAAUUCCUCCCUGACAAAAUCAUCUGCAUGUGCACAUAGCUAUUGGAAGCUGAAUUAGGUCAAGUCGUCUUCAAGAAUGAGGAAAAAAGGAAAUUAUAGACCAUCAUAAAAUUUGAUCAUCCCCAAGUUCAGCAUCCUUACUUCAUAAUGGAGCGCAUCAUUUUAUCAUUGAUUACACUAGCCUGUCUCUGUGCAUGUAUUUCGACACAAAAUUUAGUUACAUUCCAUCUUCAGGAAGACCAGCCGAACAACACUCUGAUAGGAAGCUUGGAAGAGGAAACUGGCCUUUCUAAGAUAAUUAAUGAAUCACUCAAAGACCUCAAAUUUACUCUCAAGAAAAAAGAAGAGCCCAUAAUUUCGCUAUUUCGUCUAGCAGAAUCUAGUCAACUCUUUACUAACCAAGUGAUAGACAGAGAAAAGGUGGCAGCGUGUCAGUACAAGACACAAUGUGUGUUCAACUUUGACGUCAUUGUGACGAGCUCAGCUUCCAGUUACUUCGGUUCCAUCAGUGUUCAUAUCAACGUCACCGAUGUCAACGAUCACAGUCCCACGUUUGAUCCGAAUCAUUUUCAACUCAAUUUACCGGAGUCCACCACAGCUAACAAGAGUGUGUACAGACUUGAGCCGGCUCAGGAUCUGGAUAUGGGGGGCAAUAACUCGGUGCAAUCGUACCAGUUCAUCCAAAUCACACCAGCAGUUUCCACAACCAUGGAUUUCCGAAUGGAAGAAAUAACAUCAUCGUUUGAUGGAUUGUCUCGUAACAUCUUCACCAAUGUUACAUUGGAUUACGAAAGACAGAAGCUUUAUGUUUAUCACAUACUCGCAAGGGAUGGAGGAAACCCUCAGAGAACGGGGACUUUCACCCUGGAAAUCAACGUUGUGGAUGAAAAUGACAACACCCCUAUUUUUGACACACUACAAGCUUCUGUAACCAUUGAGGAAAACACCCCUAUUAAUACCCCUUUCUACGUUUUCCAUGCGAGUGAUAAAGAUUCUGGCAAUAAUGGUAAAAUUGAAUUCCGAUUCAAGAAAUUUCAGGAACAAUGGCAGGAAAUUGCUGCAUUGUUUUCCAUUGAGAAUGAUACUGGGACAGUUAGAGUCAUUGGAAACUUGAAAUACGAGCAUGGAAAAGUCUACCACAUAAUCGUGGAAGCAACAGACAAAGGAGUCAUUCCUAGGUAUUCCUCAGCUCAGCUGGACGUAACGGUGAAGGACUCUGGAAAUAAUGCUCCAAAAAUUAACAUUAACUUCCUGUUCGAUGAUCUCGGCAACAAUACAAUGAGUGUUUCCGAGGAUGCCAUCCUGGAGCAGGCUAUUGCUGUGAUCAAUGUGGAAGAUUCUGACACCGGUUCUAAUGGAGAGGUGACUUGUCGGACUUAUAACACCUUCUUUGGUCUACAGAGUUUGAAUGAUGGAUAUAAAGUCAUUGUGCAGCACUAUUUGGACAGGGAGAAUAAAAGUAGUCAUCGCAUUAAGAUCACGUGUGCGGACAAGGGGACUCCGGUACUGGAAAGUGUAGUGGAGUUCACUGUGAUUUUGACAGAUGCCAAUGAUAAUCCACCAAAGUUCUCUGAGUUCUACUAUAAUGCUAAAGUCAAUGAAAACAAUAACAGAGGGAAGCAAAUCAUCCAGGUCCAAGCCACAGAUAAAGACAUUGGAGAAAAUGGACAAAUUUCUUACUUCAUUGAACCACCAACCGAUAAUAGGUUCUCCAUUGGUCGCGAAACCGGAAUUGUGACUGCUAAUGUUGAUUUUGACAGAGAGCAGUCGGUACACGUCACAUUCACUGUCAGGGCUACAGAUCAUGGAAAUCCACCUCAAAAUACCACAGCUAAUAUUUGGUUGGAUAUUGAGGAUGUUAAUGACAAUCCACCAAAUUUUUUGAAGGCCAAUUUUGUCUUCUCGGUGGAUGAAAAUCUUGAUGAAAGUUCAUUUGUGGGAGCAGUGCAAGCAGUUGACAAUGAUGAAGGCAAAAAUGGGGAAUUUGUCUUUAAAAUUUCGGAUGAUUAUACGAACAAGUCUGUCAUUCCUUUCAAUGUUUCCCAGUCGGGAGAAAUUAAAACCUACCAGCCAUUAGACAGGGAGAUUUUGAACCGAUACGACUUCCAUGUUAUUGCUGUUGAUAAAGGAGACCCAUCUUUAACAGGAACAGCUCAUGUUACAGUCAACAUCAAUGACAAAAAUGACAAUGCACCAAUUUUUAUCUUCCCAAGCACUGAUAAUCACACCAUUAUCAUUCCCAAUACGACUCCCCUAGAGUCCAUCAUAGCUUCUAUUCAGGCCUAUGACUUGGACGAGGAUUCGAAUGGCUAUGGCAAUGGAAGGGUCAUGUUUUACAUUGAUGGAGGAAACGAAGGAGAUGUUUUCUACUUGAAUCAUGACACCGGAAGUCUUCACUUCAGGAAGUAUGUUGGCGUGGCUGAGGACUACACGUUCCACUUGAAAAUCCGGGCGCGUGAUAGUGGUCGAGAAGCAUUGGAAGCAACACGAGACCUUGAUAUUGUUGUAAAAUACAUGAAUGCCACCACUGGUUCUUUGCAAAACCAGGACGACUCGGACAAAAACAUUCUGAUUGUUGUUAUCGUGGUUUGCGUGACCAUUGUGGUAUCUGUGGCACUCAUCGCCCUCAUCUGCAUGCUGCGACGAAAGAGUGAGGAUAAGAUGAAGGAUGAUGGUCCCCCGUUCCUGGCCUCGCGAUCACCUACCUCCACCCUUUAUGACCGGCCUCCACCAGCAUACCUCAAUGUUUCACAGGCAGACAAACCCACCAGACCCAGAGUCAGCUUCUCCAAGGACAAUGACACGUUCACUAAACAGCAGCUGAUGGAGAAGAUGACUGGAACCCCAAAUGGAAGGAUGGAGCCAGGAAAAUAUACAAAUCACAGUCAUCAGAACCCUAAGUCCCACACAGAGGAGAGCCCAAGUGAAACUUCAGGGGAGACAAUCCCGUCUGACAGCGGACAUGGGGGAUCAGAGGAGGAUUUUACUAGUCAUAGCCAUAAUAACAACAUUGAUAAAAGAAUACCAUUACAACCAUCUUACUUGAAGAAUGGAGUAUUCAUGAUGCAAGAGCCUUUGAACAAUCAAACAAACACUCUGCCGAGUGAGAGACGAUUAAAUUCAGUGUCGUCCAGUAAACCAGUGUCUAAGUACAUGGACGACAGUUUAUUAACAUCGAGUAUCAAUUCACUGUGGUCAGAUAACCACACCAUUAACAGACAAAACAGUAACAAUGUGCAAAAGUUACCCACAAUUCCUGCUUGGGCAGGAUAUCAUACAAGUGAUAGAAUGAAUGACAGUUUGUUAUUUUAUUCCAAAGACACAACACUGGGAAGUCACAGUGCCCACAGUCGGGAUGACGACGAGUGCACGACAACCAGCGGCAGUUACACCAUCAAUCCUGAUGAAAUUGAUGAUAGUUUCGACAACAGACCCAGGGAUAUGUUUGUGUAGAGAAAAGACAUGGAAUAUCAGGAUUAAUGUAUAAAUACCUUUAUUUAUAAUUUGUAGCCAAAGAUUUUUCUAAUAAUGGUGAACAAAAUAUACUUCUGAACCCAAUAAACAUCAAGUGCUUAUGACUAUAUAUGGAGAUGUGGACACGCACACAAAAAACAGCAAGACUAACCCCAGCAGAGCUGACCAAGGCAAUGUCAUGCCAUUUAUCACGUCCUCUUGUGCAACUGAUCCUGCAAAAAUGUUGCAGGUGAGAAAAAGUGACCAGAGGAUAUUGCUCAAUUUUGCAUGGCUGUGAAAAUAUUUUGCCUAAAAAAUACGGCUCCCAGGUCCACAUGCCAGUAUCGGACUAAACCGAGUGGGAGAAAAUACAUCAAAUGCGUACAUGUAACUUGUUGUAUGAAUUGUGUUCAAUAUAUCAUUUGUAUAUGAGUGAAAAUAACUUUUAUUAUAAACUUGUAUUUAACAGAUCUCAUUGAAAUUUUGUAUAGCAAAUGUUUUCUCUAGCAAUAUCCUAAUUGUCAGCAAUAUAUGUUGAAUAAUUUGUUUCUGCUGAAAUAGCCUCAGUUCAAUCUCGUCUUGUUAUUGUUCUUUAGAGAUGAACUGAGCAUGUGAAAUCCUGUUAUUUUUGUUUAUAAACGUAUGCAUAAUGUUGAAACUGGCAGCGUUUAAAUGUUAUUGAAAUUGAUCAAAACAUAACAAAUUAAUAAAACAGAGAAGAUAAAA